AAUAAAUAAAUAAAAAUUUGUUUUGAAUCAGAUUCCAUCCAACACCCCCACCAAAUAUGAACACCCCAUAACACAUGAUUUUUUAUUUUUUAUUUUUAAUCAAAAUAUUUUGUAAUAUCUAAAUAGUAUGAAAUGAUAUUACUAAUUGAUUACAAAUUUAAACAUAGAAGUAAGAAAAAAAGAAAAGAAAAGGAAGAAUAAUAUAUAGUUGUGAGGAUAAAUGAUUGCUUUUGAUUUUUGAUAAUCUUGUCGGGUAAUUUCUCUUUUCUCUAUGCCUGCCGUGCCAGCACAUAAAAAAAUAUAAUAACAAAAUUAAAAUUAAAAAAGAAGGUGGAGAUUAAUAUUAAUAAUAACAACAACAACAAUAAAAUAUUGAAUUAUUGCAUCAUCAUCAUCAUCAGCAUCAUCGCCGCCGGUGGUCAAAGGCACAACGCGGUACAUCGAAGAUCAUCGCUGCUAAAAUCAAAAAGAUCGGAAGGUGGAAUGUUGAGAUCGAAAGGCAGA
This 504-nucleotide long non-coding RNA is filed under the name Cucumis sativus (cucumber). RNAcentral describes it as "long non-coding RNA (CSAT_LNC000873)". Lineage: Eukaryota; Viridiplantae; Streptophyta; Magnoliopsida; Cucurbitales; Cucurbitaceae. The record is from RNAcentral.